AUUGGGUAUAAAUCAGCCUAAAACACUCUUAUUGUGAGCCUGGCUUAAGUUACCUUUUCUGCUUCUUCAAUAGAGGUCACAAACUCCUGCUUCAGAUCACUCAGGUGCUCAAUGAGAUCCUCAUUAACAAAGGUCUUCUCCUUCAGUGUAUCUAGCAGAGAUCCCACUUUCUCCCAGAACUUCUGAAGCUGAACCAGAAUCUGCUGGAUUUGAGAAAGACACUUCUGGACUUUCUACAAGGUGGACGGGACUGGGAAUCACACCUGGACAAACAACAGAUAUUGAGUUAUGAGAGAUCACUGUGAACCUUCAGACCCUUUUAACACAAAGAGCUGUUAAAACAGUUUGAAAAUUAACAAUUCUUUUUCCAGAAAGUAUGAUGCUGAUACUUUUUUUUUUUUUUUUGCAUUUCAUUGCAUUUACAUUUUUUUUACAUAUUGGGUUGUGACUCCAAAAUAACAUAUUAGCUGGCUUAAUUUGUUUAGUAACCAGAUGAUUUAUUUUGUCAUAGUCAUGCUUGAUGUUAAAACAUUUUUCAAAGCUUUUACUUUCAUUGUUUAUUCUAUUGUUAUGCUUGUAUUUUAUCUUUCAUGCGCAAAUUACUGCAUGGUCUGUUUUAUUUGUCACUAAAAUGUAAACAUUUUAAUUGUUAUAGUAAGCGUAUAGCAUAUGUUCAAUGCUUUGAAAUAUGCUGUGCCUGCACUAGGACUCUAAUUGAAUUUAUUGAUUGAUUUCUAACAUAUAACUAAGUAAGCAGCUCCUGUAUAUUAUUGGAUUAUAGUGCCUAUUUAAGUAAGGGAUAAUGUACAUCCAGCCGGUUGUUAUCUCAGAAUAAACCCCGACAGGGUGAUCAGGACCCCAACACGAAGUAAACAAUAAACAAUAUUAUUUAGCUAUUUAAAAAAUAAAUAAAUAAAUUCAUUGACCAGUACUGCACUUAUAGUAUGUAGAUAAGCUUAACAAAAUAGAAUUAACAGAAACUAUAAAUUUAUUCUGAGAUAACAACCGGCUGGAUGUGCAUUAUUUUGCUUAUUACAUGGCUAAAAAGAUUUGUUUUUACCAUAUAUGUUGAAAUUAAUACUGAAGUCUUCCACUGUAAAGUGUUUCAGACACAAGAUCACAUCAGACAGUCAAUGAUAUCGGAGUGACUCGUUAAGCAUAUAAGUAGUACCGGUCAAGAUAACUCGUAGUACCCGGAUGAGCAGUGUGUUAUUCAAUUUAGCAGUUGUUAUCUGGGAAUAACAUAUCGCUAGAUGGUGCGAUUGACCAAUCAGAAUCAAGUUGCAUCACCUUGGAAUGUCACAACUAACCAAUCAAGUGUUCCAGAGAGCUUAUUAUCUAAAGUCGAUCUGUGUCCAAAAUUGCUCUCUCUUUCUAUGUAGUUGAGUGCACUAUAUCAUGAAUAAAUGACAUGAAAUGAACGAAUUCAGAGGAAAAUCUAGAAGAAAAUCUUUAGUCUGGGGCACAUAGAAAAACUCACCCAGCCGUAUUUUGCAAUUAGCCAGCUGCAUCUGAAGAUCAGUCAGUUUGACUUGGAUUGAGGACUCUUGUUUUUGCAGACUGCUCUUUUCAGACAUGAGACGGGACAGUUCGGCGUUGAGAGCUUGAGUUUGAGCAGCAUCACCAGGGCCAGUCACAGCAUCGUCAAUAAAGCUAACAAUGGCUCCAGUAAAUGGCACCAAGGCAGUCAGGAUACCAAAGCCAAUGUUUUUGCUAGAAGCAUCUCGGAUGCGAUUCUGCAGCUCAUUGUUUUUUUCUUCAAUUGUUUUCUGUAUUUCAUUUAUGUUUUCAGCCCUUUUUCUCAGCUCCUCCUCAAGGUUGGCCACGGCCUCCUCCAGACUCUUAAUUUCCUCCGUUGUUUGAGUUAGUUGUUUUUCUGUCUCUGUCUUUUCUUGAAACACAUCACUGGUGCAUGACGCUACACUUUGGUUAUGUUCAUCAUACCUGAAUAUGAUGUAUUUCAGAUAGACAGAGUACAGUGAAUGGACUUGAUACAGUAGAUCACUAUCAUCUCAAGUUUGUUAGAUUAAAACAAUUGAAACAAGGUAUUAUGCAUUAAUUUUACUAUUCAAUGAAAUGUAUCUUUCUGAAGGGAUGUUUCGUUAUUUACAAAUACUGAUUAAGAGAUUUGCUGUGAAAUACUAAACUUCCCCAUGAUAAGAUGUUGAUGAUGUCUUCACCUCUUCACAAUGUCUUCCACAGCUAUAAUGAUGUCAUUAAUCUUUGCUCUGAUUUCCCCCAGGUACUUCACAGCCAGAGAGGGUUCAUUGUGUUCAACAGCCAUCAACAGCGACGGAAGCAGGGAGAAAACCAGGGUGGAACUCGCGAUAACACACUACAAUGAAAUAUAAUUUAUCCACAAGGGCAGUUUAAUACAAUAGUAGCUACAUCACAAGUUUGUUGGCAUUAGUAUCAAUGUGGUAAAAACAUUGACAAUUUGAAUUUUGUGGGAUUUGUUUGAAUUUCAAUCCAAAGAGUGAUGGAACAAAAAAGGAGAAGUUUUCAGACUUAAGCUAUUUUUUCAAACAACAAUAAUUCACAGUGAUCAUAUCUGUCACUACACUUUGAAUCUUCGAAAGCUAUAUGAUUUUUUGCUUUCUUGUAUAAUGUAUUGUUUGUUUAUUUUUGCUUAUUAUUAGUUUUGCUUCUUUGUGAGAGAUGCCUUAUACUGUAUGAAUAAUAACGUAGUUAUUGGUUGGACUGCUGGACCAUCAAUACCCAGAAGUGUGUGCAUGUAUGUUCAAGGACACAGAGAUCUGUGGUUCAACCAAAAUGUUGAAUUUAAAAAGAUUACUCAUGUCCCAGUAUUAUUUUAUGACAUUUAUGUAAGAAGACAACACAAGUUAAUGUUAAAAAAGGCCAGCAAAUAUGGAAUUUUACCCAAUAAAAUAUUAAAUAACGUUAAAAAAAAACACAAGGCAACCAACUGCAUUCAGGGAAACUCUUUCUUGUAUCGCUUUAAUGGGCAGUCUUAACGGAAACUCAUUCAACUUCCUACAGGGAGAGAAAGAUAAAAAUAUGACAACUAGCAUCUGGUUAUGAUCGCUAUUAAAGUGUUUCUCAUGUUAUCUAACUGCAAAUAUAGCAUAACUGCCUGUUAUCUAAAACUAAACAUUAACUAUAACGCGUUUAAUGAAAAUAAAAAUUGUGACAUUUGGAACACUAGUUUUGCAUCAAAAUGCAUUUUCUAGAUAUUACCACCCAACAGUUUUGUUACACCCCUGUCUUACCUCCAGCAGAACCACCACAGAGGAUUUAAACAGUAGCUGUGUUUCGAGAGCUCUUUCUCUGAUCAGACGCUCCAGCUUUGGGAAACCACCCAGACACAGGUAAGAGAGAUGAUAGAGAAGAGCCGUUCGCUCCGCAGCUGGAAGAAGCUCCCGGAUGAACUCUGGAGUCCAUGAGGAAACACUGCUGGAUACAAUCUCUGAGACACCAGACCAAACAUUAGUGAUUGAUAACAACCUCCGGGGUUCAGUCAACGGUGCAUAGGUCAGGCAUACUGUAAAUUAAAUAUAUUAAAUAUAUGUGCCAUAUCAUCUUCUAUUCAAAUAGUCUACAUCUGACUGAUUAUAAUCAUAAAGGUAUGCUAAACAGUGUCUUUUAUCCCUGCAUGGCUGUGUCAUGUUAAAAGAAGUUUUAAACUUUUAAAAAUGGCCCCUGAGAUCCUGCAUUCUUUUCCAGUCCGCUGCAUCUCAGCGUUGGAAUAAUAUGUUUUGUGGAUUGAAUAAAAGGAAUAAAAGCUGCAGUACCAAGUGUAAAAAAAAAACAUCCUGAAAAAGGGAAGUCCACUUUCCUGCAGAGUUAAUAGCUCCAACCGUAAUCAAACAUAUCUGAACAAGUUAAUCAAGGUCUUCAGGGGGGCUGUUUCAUAAAAGAAGUCUACCAAAUAAGCCAGGCUUAUUUCAGUUAGUCUGCCUUAUUGUCAGAAAGCCAAUUUACCAUAGCUCAAGCUCAGUCACUGUGGCAACUUGUGCUGGGAAACUACCCUAGUCCUGUCAGGCUAACACUGACCAAUAGGAAUGCAUUGAUAUUCCAAUAAGUGUGGUUUAGUUAGUUAUUUAAUGCUAUAAAAAAAGGGUGGGAUGUCUUGACUGUAAGGCUUCUUACAGGAGCAGUGAGAGGAGACUGAAGCUUUAUUUUAACUUUUAAUUUCCCGUAACUGUGUUGUUUCACACCAACAAAAUUAACUGUUGGGCAGUAAGCUGGAUCACUGAAGUAUGUUCCGUACAUUAAAUUUGUGCUUUAGAAGCGAAUUAGAAAAAAAUAUGUUAUUGGACAGCUAGAGAAAAAAUAACAAGCUUAAUGCUAGCCGUGUGGGGAAAUUGUAACAAUGCUCAUAAUUACGGGAAGAAGGAGGCAGGAACCGGCAGAGGUUUAACAUCUUGCUCUUUAUCAUUUGCUCCACCAGCAAGCUACUCAUGGAGGAAUAUUGCUUUUGGUAAUUGAGUUGGGCUUCCACUAACGGUGCGCCCAUGAUUACAGGUGAUCAUUUUAUCAGACGACUGUCACUUACAAUAUUUUAGGCCUAUAUGUAUAUACUUAAUUUUAACAUUAACUUAAGAAUACAUGGUGAACAGAAGACAUAAAGACAUCAGUUGUUGUUUCUUACUUAUUUACGUAGCCUACUUAGGCUGUCAAACUGUUGUAUAAAAGCAAUAUCACACAUUCACAUUCGCAGUUGUGUGAUAUGGCUGAUUAUCUGUGGCACUCAUAUAUAGUGUAAAUAUGACACAUAAACCAAAGUUACAUGUAAAUGUACUUCCUGUAGCUGGCGAUGUACAUUGGUGCUUUUGAAAGUAUUUUCCUGUAAUAUGGUAAUAUUUGUAAUGACAUGGUAUAAGAAGCUACAGACUGCCUUAAAUAAAAAUACAGUUGCAAAGAGUUCAAAUGCAUUACUUUUUACUGACUUCUAGUUCUUUUUUUCUUCUUCUUCAUUUUUUUUUAUUUUCGGACAAAAAUAAAUAAAUAAAUAAAUAAAUGAACUGGACGUUUCAGCCAUAGCCUUACUUCCGCAUUGAAGAAUAAGGUGGAUAAGGAGUUUGAAAUGGAAAUUCUCACCUUUGCUAUCAGCCAUGUUUUUGCAGAGUGUACACUGAUGAAGACUCCUAUAGAAAGGUCUUAAGAAGCACGAAUGAAAGACAAAAUGUGAUAUUUAAUUAUAGUUAUAUAUCACAGCACAUGGAGGGGUCUCCCCAAGCCUAUUACAUAACUACAGAAUUCACUGUUAUUAAAAUGACAAGCAUGAUCAGGACAUUUGACAAAAUUUCUAAUUUCUCUUUUCCUGUUCUGAAAGAGAAAGAAUUGGUCAUACAGCGUUAGAACAACAGGGUGUGUAAUUUAUGACUGAAUUUAAUUGAGUGUACACACCACUAGUGAUGAAGGGAAUUUAUGGUAAUUAUCUUGCUCUAAUAUUUUUAUAUAGCGUCUAAUGUUCAUUCAAGCCCUUUCCACUAAACUAAAAUUAAAAACGAAAGAAAAGUAUACAGAUAACACUGUUAUUUUAAGUUUAACAAAAUUAGGACACAGCAGAAAGUCAGCAGAAAUGUAAAGUAUAUGUAUAUACACACUUGACAACAUAACACUAAUAAUAUAUAUUGAUCAGCUUGAGAAAAAAUAAAAAACUUACUGAAAAUAAAAGGUUUAUGUAUGUAAAGUAGGUACAUAGAAAACAAACAGCAAAUUUUGUGACUGAAUACUAGCCUUUCCAUUUUUUGAUAUUAAAACAUCUGUACUGCAUCCUACUGUAAUACAUGUACAGUAUUAUCUCAUGUUUAAAAUAUCAUAUAAUGUCUAAUCCAAUCCUGAAAGAAAAGUAGGAUACUCACAUAUUUUGUAUUGAGUUUGAUUCUCCAACUUGUCUGCACUUCUGCCAAAAAUAUAGCCAACUAUGGAAGGCCAAAAGGGCCAAAAAUCAGUGCAUAUUUCACGUGUGAAAUACACAUUAAAUAGGCUGAAAUAUGUGUUAAAUAUCCCUUUGAACAGAUCAGUGUCAUCAACUGCUGAAAACUUGGGUCAAACCAUUUCUGUGAGUUUAAAGGGGUGUUCCAUUCAUAGUGAAAGUGAAAAGUGAAAGUGAAAGAUUACGAUACCACCAUUUAACAUGCUAUAGAUCAACUUAUUCAGCAUUUAUAUUUUGUCCUCUUUUUUUUGUAUAGCCUAUAGAAAUAAUAUAUUUAAAUUGCCUUUCUUUGAAAUAUUAUAUAUUAUAUUAGAAAUUUAAAAACCUUGUUUUUCUCCCCGUAUGCCUUUUUUAGUAAAUAAACAUAUUAGUGGACAUUCUUAAUCAAAGCUUUAACAUUUGUGUGGGGAAAUCAGUUAUAGUGGAGGUAAACAAUUGUACCAUUGUAAUCAAUAUCUGUCUUUGGAAAACAACAUGAGCUUUUCUUGUGCUUACAUUUACAGCUAUCGCCAGCAGGUGGUGCUUAUUAUGCACUCACCAGACAAACAUGCAGGUGAUAUUAUCAAUUUAAAUGAAUUUAAAGACAUAAACUAUUUAAAUAUGGCAUUUUAGAAUGUAUAUAAUUAUUUAAGACUUUCAGGUCAGGUAGAAGAACUUGAUUUGGUUUUCCUGCAGAAGUAUCCUACCGCUAUCACCAUUAAAGAUCCUCCUAUUUCUUUUUUCUUUUCUUUUUUUUUCUUGUAAUUUUCUUCCUUUUCUUGUAUAGUCCAAAGAAAAUAUCUAGAUUGCAAUUUUAUGAAAAAAUAUUUUUAUCAAGAUAAGAUUGCCCCUUUUUGCACAUUAGUAGGCAUUGUAGCUGCAACACCAUUCACCACACCUCAAGUUUUCUAACAUUAAAAACUAACAUUUGAUUAGGGAAAAGGGUACAGAUGUGGUUCUUGAUCAGUGCAAUUGUAAUGAAUGUCUGUUUUUGAUAAACAACAUAACCUUGUUUUCUUAGAUUUAAUUUAUCGCUACAGCAAGCAUGCCACCAAGAUGCUUCACAGGGACCAAAUUACAGAAACAUCCUGUCUUAAAGGGAUAAUUCCCCCAAAAAUGAAAAUUCUGGCAUCAUUUACUCACCCUUACGUUGUUUUUAACCCUUUAGGCACCAGGGUUUUUUGGGAAAAAAAUGCUGGAUUUUGACAUCAAGAUUUCAAAAGCUUGUGGCUUGAAAGGGCUUAAAGAUAGAGAUCUACUGUAAAUUAGAAAAAUGUU
This is a long non-coding RNA of Cyprinus carpio carpio, 7159 nucleotides long. NCBI's taxonomy places the organism in Eukaryota, Metazoa, Chordata, Actinopteri, Cypriniformes, Cyprinidae. The record is from Ensembl.